AAAACUUUCAACAACGGAUCUCUUGGUUCUGGCAUCGAUGAAGAACGCAGCGAAAUGCGAUAAGUAAUGUGAAUUGCAGAAUUCAGUGAAUCAUCGAAUCUUUGAACGCACAUUGCGCCCUCUGGUAUUCCGGGGGGCAUGCCUGUUCGAGCGUC
This 155-nucleotide ribosomal RNA is filed under the name Carbacanthographis stictica. Its description in RNAcentral is "5.8S ribosomal RNA". It matches the Rfam family "5.8S ribosomal RNA". Rfam says of the family: 5.8S ribosomal RNA (5.8S rRNA) is a component of the large subunit of the eukaryotic ribosome. It is transcribed by RNA polymerase I as part of the 45S precursor that also contains 18S and 28S rRNA. Functionally, it is thought that 5.8S rRNA may be involved in ribosome translocation. Lineage: Eukaryota; Fungi; Ascomycota; Lecanoromycetes; Ostropales; Graphidaceae. The record is from RNAcentral.